Molecule: ribosomal RNA, 544 nt
Filed under: uncultured fungus
Lineage: Eukaryota; Fungi
Description: eukaryotic LSU rRNA
Rfam family: 5.8S ribosomal RNA (bases 186-339)
Source: RNAcentral
CGUAACAAGGUUUCCGUAGGUGAACCUGCGGAAGGAUCAUUACCUAGAGUUUGUAGACUUCGGUCUGCUACCUCUUACCCAUGUCUUUUGAGUACCUUCGUUUCCUCGGCGGGUCCGCCCGCCGAUUGGACAACAUUCAAACCCUUUGCAGUUGCAAUCAGCGUCUGAAAAAACAUAAUAGUUACAACUUUCAACAACGGAUCUCUUGGUUCUGGCAUCGAUGAAGAACGCAGCGAAAUGCGAUAAGUAGUGUGAAUUGCAGAAUUCAGUGAAUCAUCGAAUCUUUGAACGCACAUUGCGCCCCUUGGCAUUCCAUGGGGCAUGCCUGUUCGAGCGUCAUUUGUACCUUCAAGCUCUGCUUGGUGUUGGGUGUUUGUCUCGCCUCUGCGUGUAGACUCGCCUUAAAACAAUUGGCAGCCGGCGUAUUGAUUUCGGAGCGCAGUACAUCUCGCGCUUUGCACUCAUAACGACGACGUCCAAAAGUACAUUUUUACACUCUUGACCUCGGAUCAGGUAGGGAUACCCGCUGAACUUAAGCAUAUCA